This 253-nucleotide ribosomal RNA is filed under the name uncultured bacterium. RNAcentral's name for it is "partial 16S ribosomal RNA". It matches the Rfam family "Bacterial small subunit ribosomal RNA", at positions 524 to 776 of the family's 1533-position model. The record is from RNAcentral.
GACGUAGGUGGCGAACGUUAUCCGGAAUUACUGGGCGUAAAGGGCGCGUAGGCGGUCUUGUAAGUCUUGUGUGAAAUCCCUCGGCUUAACUGAGGAACUGCACGGGAUACUGCGAGACUUGAGAUCGGGAGAGGGAAGCGGAAUUCCGGGUGUAGCGGUGAAAUGCGUAGAUAUCCGGAGGAACACCGGUGGCGAAGGCGGCUUCCUGGACCGACACUGACGCUGAGGCGCGAAAGCUAGGGGAGCAAACGGG